UACGUAGGUGGCAAGCGUUAUCCGGAAUUAUUGGGCGUAAAGCGCUCGCAGGCGGUUUCUUAAGUCUGAUGUGAAAGCCCACGGCUCAACCGUGGAGGGUCAUUGGAAACUGGGAGACUUGAGUGCAGAAGAGGAGAGUGGAAUUCCACGUGUAGCGGUGAAAUGCGUAGAGAUGUGGAGGAACACCAGUGGCGAAGGCGACUCUCUGGUCUGUAACUGACGCUGAGACGCGAAAGCGUGGGGAGCAAACAGG
RNAcentral lists this ribosomal RNA (253 nucleotides) under uncultured bacterium. Its description in RNAcentral is "partial 16S ribosomal RNA". It matches the Rfam family "Bacterial small subunit ribosomal RNA", at positions 524 to 776 of the family's 1533-position model. The record is from RNAcentral.